This 403-nucleotide ribosomal RNA is filed under the name bacterium. RNAcentral's name for it is "partial 16S ribosomal RNA". It matches the Rfam family "Bacterial small subunit ribosomal RNA", at positions 355 to 776 of the family's 1533-position model. The record is from RNAcentral.
UGGGGAAUAUUGCACAAUGGGGGAAACCCUGAUGCAGCGACGCCGCGUGAACGAAGAAGGUAUUCGUAUCGUAAAGUUCUGUCCUAUGGGAAGAUAACGACAGUACCAUAGAAGAAAGCUCCGGCUAAAUACGUGCCAGCAGCCGCGGUAAUACGUAUGGAGCGAGCGUUGUCCGGAAUUAUUGGGCGUAAAGGGUACGCAGGCGGUUUAAUAAGUCGAAUGUUAAAGAUCGGGGCUCAACCCCGUAAAGCAUUGGAAACUGAUAAACUUGAGUAGUGGAGAGGAAAGUGGAAUUCCUAGUGUAGUGGUGAAAUACGUAGAUAUUAGGCGGGAUACCAGUAGCGAAGGCGACUUUCUGGACACAAACUGACGCUGAGGUACGAAAGCGUAGGGGGCAAACAGG